GUGGGUUUUUGCGACGCCAUUCGCGCCUCUUCGAGGUGGCCCUCUGGUCCGGCUUUAGAACUCCGCGCUUUUGUGGAGCUCGAGAGUCCGGGGUAGCUGGGACAAGGUAGACCCAGGAUAUCGACCUUUUUAUUUUUAACUGCAUUUUCAGUUUGGAGGUUGUAAAAUAGGUAUAACAUUUAAGAAAAAAAUUUUGAAAGAGUGCUGCCAAUUCUUUGAAAAUAUGAAGCUGGAUGUGGUGGGAAGAACAAGCGUUUUGGCACAAAAAGAUGAUUAAUUGGAUGAACUGUAAAUGGAAAACGUGGAUAUCUAUUGGAUGCUGAUGAUUAUGAAACAAAGUAGCAAAGAUAAGAAGCCAUUUGCUCAUUCUGCUCCUUUGCCAGCAAUAUUUCACAAAGCCCCUGACUCCUUGACUGUGAGCAGCCUUGUGGAAGAAUGCCUUGAAGACCAUAAGCAGGAUAGGGAACAGGGGUGCACAUCUCUUGCCUGAAUCACUGAAUUUUUACAAAAGAAGAGGUUCAAUUAAGUGGUUGAAAAGCUUCAGGAAGAAAUUUAAGCUAAAUUGAAAUGAGGGAGUAACAUCAGCAAGAUGAUGAAAUGGAAGAUCCCCUACUAUCACUCCCUCCAUAAAAAUACAACUAGAAACUACGUAAAGACAAGAACACAACCCUGAGUUCACCACAAUUCAAGGGAGAAUUGAAGAAACCUCCAGGGCCCUCAGAAUUGAGAGAAGCUGUGACAGAUAAGAAAAAUGGCUGUUUCAGACAUUGCAGCCCCCUCCAUCAAGCUGGCAUAAUGCCGCUCAUAGAGAAUUUUCCUAGACUCAUGGUUUCUAAGGUAAGAAGAGGGAGUUGGAAGUGGACAUACGAUCUCCCCACCAGUCUGGGAAUCUUCUCAGGAAGCCCACUUCUGCCCCAUCCCCUGGGAACAACUGGGAGUGUCAGAAGGGCUGAACAACUUGGGAUGAACUGAGACAAAGUGUGGGACACUGAUCAUAGUGACUGGCAUGUGGAUCUUGGCAGUUACUCUUCACUCCAAUCAGUAUGGACACCACAUUGAAGAGAUUGGCUGGCACCAUAGUGCUAUAGGGGACACACUCUGUGAGAAGGCCUGAAUCCCUGGCCAGAUUUCAACAAAGACUAGGUGUUCCCAUUGAGUCUCCACUGGACCAGAAACAACUAGAAACGUUGGGAUUGAGUUCCAAUGACUGCUUAAGUCUUCCACAAACUGGGAGACAGUGGCAGGGCAGCCAUAUAGCUCCAGGGCAUUGUUAACUUAGUGUUCACUAUAAGUCUUCCUCAGACUGGGAAACAGUGGCAGGGCAAAAGUUAGUUCCAGUGCAGUGAGUUAGUUCUGGUACUUACUAUAAAUUAUCCCCCCCCCAAAAAAAAAAAAAAGAAUAUCAGCAGUUAAAUUCUGAUACUAAGUAGUAAAGGUCAAACACCACCAAAAACACCUUUAAGAACUGGAAGAGGUAGCUAUCUCCUAAAAUUUGCAGGUAUUAAGGCAAAGCCACAAGAAUUGUAAAAACUCAGGGAAAUAUGACCUUACCAAAAGAAAUCAACAAAGCUCCAACAAUGGAGCUAGAAUAUGUGAAGACCUAGGAAAUGUUAAACAGACAAUUCAAAAUAAUCCUCUUAAACAAAUUCAGAGAAUCACAAGAAAAUAUAGAUAGAAAAAAAAUAAAAUUUGGAAAGUAACCCAGGAACAAAAUGAGAUAUUUGACAAAGAAAUAAGAAAUAAAAACAAACAAAUCCAUUAUUUCUAGGGUUUCUAGAAAUAAAGAAACCAUAACUAAACUGACGCAAUAACUAAACUGAAAAACUCAUUAGAAAGCUUCAACAGCAGACUUGAUUAGAGAAAAUAUUAGCAAGUUUGAAGACAGCACAUAUGAAAUUACCUAAUCAGAGGAGAAAAAAAGAAAAAAGAAUUUAAAAGUGUAAAAAAGAACUUUUUAAGAAUUAUGGCACAUGAUCAAGCAAACUAACCUCUGCAUAGUAGGAAUUCCCAAAGGAGGCAAGAGAGAAAAAGGCCUAGAAGGCAUAUUUAACAAAACAAUGGUGAAAAUUUCCCACAGAUGGAGAAAAAGGACACCAGUCAGAUACAGGAAUCUUGGAGGUAAUCAAUCAAAUUAAACCCAAAGAGGAAAUCCCUAAGGCAUAUCAUAAUCAAAUUAGCAAAAAUCAGAGACAACAGAAAUACUCAGUGCAGCAAAAGAAAAGAAAAAUAUUACAUUAAACAAAGCACCUGUACAGCUUUCACUGGAUUUCACAGCAGAAAUCCUACAGGCCAGGUGAGAAUGGGAAGCUUGAAAGUGCU
This 2319-nucleotide long non-coding RNA is filed under the name Pongo abelii (Sumatran orangutan). RNAcentral's name for it is "lncRNA (ENSPPYG00000035936.1)". The record is from RNAcentral. Lineage: Eukaryota; Metazoa; Chordata; Mammalia; Primates; Hominidae.